RNA transcript from Hypanus sabinus (Atlantic stingray), 3563 nucleotides. It is a transcript of the gene named probable G-protein coupled receptor 139, with no coding region annotated. The transcript is spliced from 3 exons. Lineage: Eukaryota; Metazoa; Chordata; Chondrichthyes; Myliobatiformes; Dasyatidae. The record is from RefSeq and is a predicted model, not a curated record.
AUUCAGCGAGAUCGCGGGCAGCUGGAAGACAGGUUGAAUCUCACACAGCAUGCUUGAAAUAUUUUUCACUGUGAGGAAGAUAUGGUACAUGAUCAUUGCCGUUAUUGGUGUUCCCGUGAAUUUAGUGGCGAUUACGAUCCUGUCCCGGAGAAAGUGCGGCCUCUCCACCUGCACCACGCGGUACCUGGUGGCCAUGGCAACGGCGGAUCUACUAACCAUCAUCUUUGAUGUGACACUGUGGCAGAUCAGUUAUUAUUACUUCCCCGGGACUUUCCUGGACAUCACCCCCGUGUGCAGCGCGAUCUCUGCCCUGGCAGAGGCAGCCACUGACUGUUCUGUCUGGUUCACCGUCAUGUUUACAUUUGAUCGGUUUGUCGCCAUCUGUUGCCAGAAGCGGAAAGCGAAGUAUUGCACCGGGAAAACUGCGGCUGUGGUUCUGACGGCAACUGGCACUCUGCUCUGUUUCAUAAAUGUGCCCUAUUUCUUUAUAUAUCAUCCAGCGAAAGUGGUUGACAAUAUACCCUGGGACUGUAUUCCAAAACCAGGAUACUAUCAAUAUCCCGUGUGGGUUGGGUAUAGGUGGUUAGCUACCGUUCUAUCGCCAUUACUCCCGUUCGUGUUAAUACUGCUGUUCAACGCUCUGACAGUCAGACACAUUUUGGUGACUAGUCGCGUCCGUAAGGGGCUGAGGGGUCAGAGCAAGGCGGAGAACCGCAGUGACCCGGAGAUGGAGAGCAGGAGGAGGUCUGUGAUCUUACUUCUCACCAUCUCCGGAAGCUUCAUCAUCCUGUGGUCGGUGACUGUUGCCGAAUUCCUUUAUUACACCAUCGCCGGAUUGGAUCCAAAUAAUUACAACGAUUCGGAACAAAUAUUUGUUCAGUCCGGAUACAUGCUGUUGAUACUAAGUUGCUGCACAAACACGUUUAUUUACGGGAUAACUCAGUCCAAGUUCAGAGAGCAGUUCAUCAGCGCAGCGAAAUAUCCGCUCACGUCAAUUAUACAGCUAAUUAAUAAUCAAAACGUCUAGGUUCUUCUCAGCUCAGAGCCACCCGUAGUAAUUUCAAUCUUGUUAGUACAGACUCUGCGGUCAUCGGAGAAUGUGGACGCGGGGAAAAUAAAACUGGUUCAGCGCCUGAGAGAGAGGCACAGAGCACAGUUACAGACCCUCGUCACCCGCAGUCCCCGACCUGCUUCUCCUACCAAUAAUUACGUUCACACUACCUCUUAUUUUUAUUUCACCAUUUUCCCGUACUUGUCCCCACCGCACCCCUUUCGACAACGAAUACCGCACCCUAAUUGGCCAUUCAUCCGGUGACCUACAAAGCCGUUUCGUCUCGGUGACAGAAAGGUAUCGGGACACCUAGUGGAAAUACUGCCUUCACGAGGAGAUGGUUGGAAUUCACACUGAGCGCCCCGGAGAUCAGUUCGAGUCUGGCCCGUACUCAGAAAUUUAGCUGAUUACACCCAACAUCGGCACGUCCUUUUAUAUGCGAUAAGCAGUCAGAAUCCACGUAGACAGACAUCGUAACUUCAACUCUGAGUGUACCUUUGUCCAGUGAGUUGGUAUCAAAUUUGUGAUGUGUUCACCAGCAAAGAGAAAUUCUGAACAAGGUCUAAUUAUCAUCUGCAGAAAGUUUUUCUCUGAAGUUGUCUUUCAUGAAACUACGAGGAGGGAGUCUUUAUUCCUCAUUUCCCUAGGUAACAAAGAACUUCAAGAAAUUCAACACCGUAGAAUCGGCCAAUAGGCACUUUAGGACGGCUUUGAGCCAAGGCCAGAUGGUUAAUUCAGACGUUUAAACUACCUGGGAUAAGAGCAUUAACCACUGGGUCCAGGAGCGGAAUUUGUUCAUUCGCUUCAUCGAGCUCUCCGCCUUUCCUUCUCGAGUGAUCUGUUCCACAACUCCAAACUCUUUCCUUCUCCCAGAAACAGUUAGACCCCUCACCAUUCGAGAAAAUUUAAACCCUUUUCUUCGCUACAUCCAAUGUCUUUGUGUCCACAACUUCUGUGCCAUCGAAUUCGAGUCCCCUUGAUAUGAGUGCCGGCAUUGCAUUUGUCUUCGUUACCACCGAUUUAACCUGCAGGGUAGCCAUCAGGAAAUCCAGAACAAGGAGCCAUAACUCUAUAUGUAUCUCUUAUUUCUGACUUUCCCCCCAUUUACAACCUCUCUACACAUUAAUCGUUCGUUUCUAAAUGUAUCCCCCACACCUCCAUACCUGUCACUACUUUGCCCACUUACUUAAUCUGAUCCCUGCCGGCGGCACUAUCUGCCUCUGCAGGUAAAUACUUUCCAUCUGAAUCUCACUCUUGAGCUCGCUCUCCAACGUUGAAAGUUUUAUCAACCCUGGCGUAGAAUGCAUUUAUUGAAAGUUACAGAAUAUCUCUCUGAUGUUCCACGCUCCCUACCCCCUCCUUUAUUCCUGAUCCCAGCCACGAAAUCCCUCACCCUGCCCCGAUUCCACUCUCAUCCCGCAUCGGAGACCUACGUCAGAAUCAGCGUCAGCAUCACUUAACAUAGUUCAUGGCUUUCUCUUCCCAAUCGGAACACGUUGACGACGAUAUUUCACUGUGGAGUCUGAAUAUCGAUUAAGGGAUUCAAGAAACAAAAGCGACAUUGAAACAGCUGCAAGGCCAUGUUGUAGAAACUAGGAUUAUUCACAGCGGAAGGAAAGAAGAACAAUAAAUUGGGAGGACAGAUUAAUAGGCCAUUCUGCCAGAGAGAGGAAAGGAUUAAGCAUGAAGUCGAUUUCAAACUGCAAAUGAAGAGAGGGUUAAUAUGCAGUUCACAUGAAAUGUAGAAUUAGUGAGAGAGGACGUCAGCAGUGCAGCGACAAUCGACAAAUGAGAGACAUUCAGUCGGGUAAUAUGAGAGUGUGUGUUUCAUUCAUCACCAGACUUUCGCCAGUAUAGUGUGAAGAGUGGUGGUUAAUUUUGCAUUCAUCUAUCUCCUGUGCAAUGAGAGACUGUGGGGGUCAAUUUUGCAGAAUUCAAUCCCUGCUACAGGCUGGCAGUGUGAGGUUCUUUAGUUCUCAUUCUCUGGUUCAGUGUGAGAGUGUGCAGUUCAAAUUGUGCAGAUCAGUCUCUGCUACAGUGUGAGAGUGUGGGUUUCAUUCUGUAUCUGUCAGUCUCUGUUACAGUGUGAGAGUGUGGGGUUCAUUCUGCAUCUGUCAGUCUCUGCUACAUUGUGAGAGUGUGGGUUUCAUUCUGUACCUGUCAGUCUCUGUUACAGGGUGAGAGUCUGGGUGACAAUCUGUAUUUUACGUGCCUUGAUUCCAGCGUUAAGUGUGCCGUUUCAUUUCGGUCCAUCUGAUUCAGUGUGAGCGAGUGUAUUUUUUCUCCUUCUUUCCCACUGUUCCUCAAACCUAUUAAAUAAUCUUAAAAUAGAUUCUAUAUUUCCCGAGCUAUUUUUUAGAACAGGAGUCUCCUGCAGUUGGUUUAUGUUAUAAUUGUGAGAUGGACAGUGCACUGACGAAUGAUGACGGUUGUAUCGAGCAGGACAUUUGGCGUUGUAGAGUCAUAUGACAAACAGACCAUUCGGCCCGGCAUCAUUCUGCAAGCUUUUCGU